Molecule: long non-coding RNA, 1306 nt
Organism: Carassius auratus (goldfish)
Lineage: Eukaryota; Metazoa; Chordata; Actinopteri; Cypriniformes; Cyprinidae
Exons: 3
Source: RefSeq, a predicted model, not a curated record
AGUGUUGGAGGUGUGGUGUUUCAUUCUGUCAGUGUUGUAAAGCAGUUCUUUCUCACUCUGUCUGCCUCCUCAAAGGUCGAAACUGGAGCUGAUGAAGCUGUACUUCAUAUUUAACAGAUAACUGACAGUGAGAAGAAGUUUGGAUAGGAAGUUUUCACGAGUCAAGUAGUGACAACGACAUGUGACAUCUUUGUGGAAGGACACUAGAACUUAUGUCACUACAUAUCUGAAAGAGUUAUUAGCAGAGUACAGUACACUAGCCAUUUUUUUAUUUUUCCCCAAGACAAAACAUCAGACGUAUUUAGGAUUUCUGGUGAAACUGAGGAAUUUUGGAACCUUCUUCCCUCAAGAUCAAGUCUGGGCAAGUCUAAAUGUGUGAGAACGAACUACAAGAAGUGAGAGUUGAGGAUGCUUUACUUGAACAGCCUGAGCCGAGGGCUAAUGUGUGCAGUGUCCUCUGUCGGGACAUCUGUACGGACAAAGACCAUCGCAAAUUAGCCAUUUGCAGCAUCAUAUGUGGCCUCUCCUGUCUUGGAAUUAUGUCCUUUAUGUACUCAGUCAAGGCCCGAGAGACAAGAAAAAAACUUCAAAAUGAAGAUAGUCCAGAAACACGAGAGAUGGUUAAGAAAUACUCAAAAAAGGCGUGUAAAUGGGGUAUUGGCUCCAUUGUAGUCUGGGUAAUUUUAAUUCUCAUCUUUCCAUUGCUGCUGGGAUUUCUGUCCUAUGUUUUAACCUUCAUAGAUUGACACUGAAGAAGCUUUUCUACAGUUAAGUAUGUAAUGAACUCUGAGAGAGCAGAAAAAGACUCUUUCAUCGCUCACAUUGGAAAUCUAGACCAUCCAAAAAUGUAAACUGAUGGCAAUAAGUUAUUCAAUAAUGGUCAUUAUUUACAUUCACUGUGUGUUUUGAGAGGUGCUGGAUCAAAGGUUCACAGCUUCCUACCUAGAAUAUAAUUGGAUUAAGUCAAUUAAGCCAAUGCAGGUAGUUAUAAAUGGUACAGCAACUUUCAGGAAUUUGUUACAUGCAUGAGAUGGAGCCAUGCAUAAAACCAUCAGCACUGUCCAGACAGAAGCUACUUCUACACUUCAGCAAGCUGAUUUUAUUUAUGCUCUUACUGCCAAUUGGAAAUGAAACACUGAGACACUCACAGAGAGCAUAACAUUCAAAUGCUGAGAUAUGGAUGUGGUUACAUUAUUAACAUUCUGUUUUUGUGAAUAAGUCGUACUGUUUCAAUACUUUGUGCUUCUGAUGUUUUGUACACGCAUGUAUUUCAGGCUUUGUAAUAAAAUGUGUCAGUCAAAACGCA